Long non-coding RNA from Chinchilla lanigera (long-tailed chinchilla), 690 nucleotides. RefSeq lists it as uncharacterized. NCBI's taxonomy places the organism in Eukaryota, Metazoa, Chordata, Mammalia, Rodentia, Chinchillidae. The transcript has 4 exons. The record is from RefSeq and is a predicted model, not a curated record.
CACCCACCACACUGGCUUCUUUUCCAAAGGUCCCACUCCCUCCCUACGCGUGCCUCACGAACCCACAACGAAAGACUCUGUGGUCAGAAAGCCGUGAGGUGAGGACUCAAGCACCUCUGACUGGCCUGGAAGAUGAAGGUGGCCUGUAGAAGCUAGAAAAGGCAAGAGAUGGAUUUUGGAACACAGCCUCGAUGACACCUUGAGUGUCACUGAGAAAUGAGAAGAAUGAAACUAAUGACAAAAGAUAGGAAGAAGGAGAAUGAAAUUAAUUGAAUUCCUUCAACGGAUAUUUAUUGGCACCUACUAUCCCAGGUACAGUGAUGAGAAUUGCUAGAACAUCUAUUUUCACGGAGAGAAAUUAUUCGGAUGUCUUGUGAAAAGGCUCAUGAGAAACCUGCCCUUCCCCACAUGAUCCGGUUAUGAAAACAGCCGUGAACCCCUGAAAAUCCAUGGGUUACGGAGGACAGUGAGGACAAUUCUGAGCAGAAACAAAACAGCCCAUCUAACCACACCUCUAGUUUCACCCUGGGCAUUUCACUCCUUCAUUUUCAGAAGGUUAAAGUACAGUAAGUGUUGCCCAGUCAUCUGCUGACUUUCAAAAACUGUUAUAGGGCUGAAAACACGAAUAACAUUUCGCAGUCUGAGUUUCUACAGAAUAUAUUGGUGUUUCAGACAUUGUUUUUUUUUUUU